AGGUGACUCAAGGGUGGUCGGUAUUCAUCCCCAACAGAAAGGGGGUGGUGCUGAUGACAGUAUACGAAGCAUUGAUGUUUGCAGUGGCUUUCGCAACACUGAUCAUAGCCAUACUGUCUUUUGACCAAAAAAAACAAUCCACCCUUGAGCUGACGACUCGCGGUGGAUUAUUUCUGCCCUUUGUCGAUCCCCCUUGCAGGGACCGUUCUAUUACCGACCGUAGAUGUUACAGCAUCU
Molecule: small RNA, 237 nt
Filed under: Thalassobacillus devorans
Lineage: Bacteria; Bacillati; Bacillota; Bacilli; Caryophanales; Bacillaceae
Description: BsrG
Rfam family: BsrG
About the family: bsrE, bsrG and bsrH pair through intermolecular interactions with antisense sRNAs. SR4 interaction with the 3'UTR of bsrG RNA promotes bsrG degradation and inhibits its translation. SR5 also overlaps bsrG from nucleotide 163 to 52 (Rfam overlap check).
Source: RNAcentral